Molecule: ribosomal RNA, 458 nt
Filed under: uncultured bacterium
Lineage: Bacteria
Description: partial 16S ribosomal RNA
Rfam family: Bacterial small subunit ribosomal RNA
Source: RNAcentral
CCUACGGGUGGCAGCAGUGAGGAAUAUUGGUCAAUGGGCGAGAGCCUGAACCAGCCAAGUCGCGUGAGGGAGUACUGCCCUAUGGGUUGUAAACCUCUUUUGUCGGGGAGCAAAAGCCGGACGUGUCCGGCUGUGAGAGUACCCGCAGAAAAAGCAUCGGCUAACUCCGUGCCAGCAGCCGCGGUAAUACGGGGGAUGCUCGCGUUAUACGGAUUUUUUGGGUUAAAAGGGGGCGCAGGCGGAUUGUAAUGUCAGCGGGAAAAUCGUGGGGUUAAAACCCGGCCAGCCGUGGAAACUGGGGAGCUAGAGUGUGCGAGAGGUAUGCGGAAUGCGUGGUGUAGCGGUGAAAUGCAUAGAUAUCACGCAGAACCCCGAUGGCGAAGGCAGCAUACCGGUGCACAACUGACGCUGAGGCACGAAAGCGUGGGUAGCGAACAGGAUUAGAUACCCCUGUAGUC